ACUAAUCAUUAUCCUCAACUUACAAAUUUCCCUUAAUUAAGAAAUCUUCGAUCACAAGAUUAGGGAUUUAUCUUCAGCUAUUCAACAGAAUCACCCAACGCCAUCUGUUAAUUGGUUCAUUUUUUUUUGUCACGACUUGUAUCCCCAGAUUUUACCUUCUUGAUUUUGGAAACAAAAUCACCUAACUCUAUAUUUUCAUUGGUUUAAUCUCUCAAGGUCAUUAUUCACGACCAAAUGUUCAAUCUUUCUCUCCUCAUGAGCCCUAAUCCAUCCUCUAUGUCGAUCCAAACAUUCUUUUAUGGAAUUCUCAACAAAUUAAAGGUUCAUUGGUAUGUUCAUCUUCUUCACCUAUACAACCAAACGAUUGUCGAAGAAAGAAGUCAAAUUAGAGCUUUUCGAGAUAAUAAAGAAGGCGAAUGCAGAUAAGAGUGCAACAAAGAACGAUAACCCUGCAUCCUCACUAUGUAGAGAUCAGUGGUUGCUCCACAGUGGCUUCCAUUUACAGAGCUAUAAGGUGGAGUCGUCUUAGUUACAACACAACUCUCCUACACAAAUCUUGUUUCAAUUUUGGAAGAAGUUGGUUCGAUGAGAUGGUUAAGUUUUUCAUGGUUAACUACCGGGAAGACCCAUGUGUGACUACCUUUUUUGAUUAUCCAACUAGAGGUGUAAAACUAAAAUCUUGGAAGAAAAUGGGGUACUGGUUACUCUAUAAAAGCUCAUUCUGAUCCUAAUGUUCUUUGUGGACAUAUAACUUUCCAAAGAAGUAGAUCAUAUAUUGAAGAUAAUGAUCAGAAACAGAAAAGACGAGAUAUAGAUAUGCACAUGUGCUAUUUGUUUUCAAAUAGCAGUGGGGAGAAAGGAUAAAACCUGCUCUUUGUGAAGCUGUAGCGCUCUACAACUCAAACAGUGGUCUACAUCCUUCAAACAGGCUGUAUUGCUCCAAGUAAGUGAUUUUAUCAUCUGGUACACAAAAGAUAAACAAUAAGAGCAAAAAGGAGAAAAAGAGAAAAGAGAAUCAACUGACCAUGCUAUCUUCAUCCAGUAUAAUUAUCUGUAUGUAUUAGAGGAAAUUCAUCGAACAGUUGGCGGGUAAGUGCUAAGCAUUCCUUUUUUUCCUCCACAACACGCACACAUACACACAUACAAAAGAAAAACCCAAACUGGGGUUCACAUAGAAAUACAAUUUCAACCAGAAAAAAACCCAAUAUGCUAUUUCAUAGGUAUGAGCGUGAGAUGAAAUGAAACUUACACACAAAACAAAAAUGAUUGUUUGUAUGUGAUCGCGCACCGGAAAGAGAUAAGGAGAGAUGCCUUUUUCAAGUUUAUAUGUGAUUGCAAAUGUCAGAAAAAGAGAGGCCUUAGAGUGAACCAACCAAUGAAGGUAGUGUAGGUUACAAAGGGUCGACAUGUGUGAUGAAAUGACAGGAUUGAGUGGUGGUGGCGGUGGAGUGUACGGUUUUUGGAGAAUGGGGGGAUUAUAAGGGAGCUGAGACGCGAAGAGGCUUAGGUUGAUGGGGGAUAAGGAAUGAGGACCUGUUCAAGAGGCAGAAAUCCAAGGAAGAUUGGUUUACUUUGACUCAUUGGUUGACGGUUAAGUUUGUGAUGCAUAAAUUGCUUGUAAAUAUUGUAGUAAUGUUUGUAUCUCUUAAAAUUCGGUAUUUAGGUACAAAUGCUUA
Lactuca sativa (garden lettuce) is the source of this 1676-nucleotide long non-coding RNA. RefSeq lists it as uncharacterized. The record is from RefSeq and is a predicted model, not a curated record. Lineage: Eukaryota; Viridiplantae; Streptophyta; Magnoliopsida; Asterales; Asteraceae.